UGCAAUGCCAUGCAAAAUUCCAGCAAGUUUUUAGAAAUUGACAAGCUGACUCUAACAUUUAUAUGGAAAUGCAAAGGACCUAGGAUAAACAGUGUUGGAAAAGAAAAAUAAUUUGGAAGAAUUAUACCACCUGACUUCCAGUCUUACUACAAAGCCACAGUAAUCAGUCAGUAUGGUAGAUUAUUGGCAUAAGCGUAGACAUAUCGAUCCAUGGGAACAGUAAUAGACCUACACAUACAGAGUCAAUUGAUUUGCACUGAAGGAACCAAGUUAUUUCAGUGGAGAUAGGAUAGUGUUUUAAAGCAAAAAGCAACUAAAACGAUAUCCACAUUAAAAAAAAAAAAAACCAACUUCAACCUUUACCUUGCACUCUACACAAAAAUUACCUUGAAAUGGAUUAUAGCCAUGAAUUUAAAGAUUUAUAGAGCUGGCCUGGCGCGGUGGCUCAUGCCUGUAAUCCCAGCACUUUGGGAGGCUGAGGCAGGUGGAUCACGAGGUAAGGAGAUGAAGACCAUCCUAGCUAACACGGUGAAACCCCGUCUCUACUAAAAAAAAAAAAAGUUAUACAAAAAAUUAGCCGGGCGUGGUGGCCGACGCUGUAGUCCCAGCUACACGGGAGGCUGAGGCAGGAGAAGGGCGUGAACCUGGGAGGCGGAGCUUGCAGUGAGCUGAGAUAGUGCCACUGCACUCCAGCCUGGGAGAGACGCCGUCUCAAAAAAAAAAAAAAAGAUUUAUAGAGCUAACCAUUCUUUCCUUGGGGUUGCGCUACUGUCCAAUGAGUGCGUGGUGAGGGCACUACUGCUAACACGUACACAACACACCUACAUCAAC
RNAcentral lists this long non-coding RNA (831 nucleotides) under Homo sapiens (human). Its description in RNAcentral is "HSALNT0182540". Lineage: Eukaryota; Metazoa; Chordata; Mammalia; Primates; Hominidae. The record is from RNAcentral.